GGAGAGGACCGGGCGAUCGCCGGCCCAGCCUGCAAAGGUUGAGCGGGAGGAAAGUCCGGGCGUCACAGGACAGGGCGGUGGGUAACGCCCACCGGUCGCAAGACCAGGGACAGUGCCACAGAAAACAGACCGCCGCGCGGCAGCGUCUAGUGCGCGGCAGCGCGGUAAGGGUGAAACGGUGCGGUAAGAGCGCACCAGCAGGCGAGGCGACUCGCCUGGCUCGGUAAACCCCGCCCGACGCAAGGCCAAACAGGGGGCAGAAUCGGUCCGAUUCGCUACGACUCCCGGGUAGGCUGCUUGAGGCGGCAGGCAACUGCCGUCCUAGAGGAAUGAUCGCCGCGCGGCCCGCAGGGGUCGCGGACAAAACCCGGCUUACAGGUCCUCUCCGCCG
RNAcentral lists this RNase P RNA (391 nucleotides) under Pirellulales bacterium. Its description in RNAcentral is "RNase P RNA component class A". It matches the Rfam family "Bacterial RNase P class A". Rfam says of the family: Ribonuclease P (RNase P) is a ubiquitous endoribonuclease, found in archaea, bacteria and eukarya as well as chloroplasts and mitochondria. Its best characterised activity is the generation of mature 5'-ends of tRNAs by cleaving the 5'-leader elements of precursor-tRNAs. Lineage: Bacteria; Pseudomonadati; Planctomycetota; Planctomycetia; Pirellulales. The record is from RNAcentral.